Molecule: ribosomal RNA, 573 nt
Filed under: Talaromyces flavus
Lineage: Eukaryota; Fungi; Ascomycota; Eurotiomycetes; Eurotiales; Trichocomaceae
Description: eukaryotic LSU rRNA
Rfam family: 5.8S ribosomal RNA (bases 218-371)
Source: RNAcentral
AACAAGGUUUCCGUAGGUGAACCUGCGGAAGGAUCAUUACCGAGUGCGGGCCCUCGCGGCCCAACCUCCCACCCUUGUCUCUAUACACCUGUUGCUUUGGCGGGCCCACCGGGGCCACCUGGUCGCCGGGGGACGCACGUCCCCGGGCCCGCGCCCGCCGAAGCGCUCUGUGAACCCUGAUGAAGAUGGGCUGUCUGAGUACUAUGAAAAUUGUCAAAACUUUCAACAAUGGAUCUCUUGGUUCCGGCAUCGAUGAAGAACGCAGCGAAAUGCGAUAAGUAAUGUGAAUUGCAGAAUUCCGUGAAUCAUCGAAUCUUUGAACGCACAUUGCGCCCCCUGGCAUUCCGGGGGGCAUGCCUGUCCGAGCGUCAUUUCUGCCCUCAAGCACGGCUUGUGUGUUGGGUGUGGUCCCCCCGGGGACCUGCCCGAAAGGCAGCGGCGACGUCCGUCUGGUCCUCGAGCGUAUGGGGCUCUGUCACUCGCUCGGGAAGGACCUGCGGGGGUUGGUCACCACCAUAUUUUACCACGGUUGACCUCGGAUCAGGUAGGAGUUACCCGCUGAACUUAAGCAUA